AGUAACGGCGAGUGAAGCGGCAACAGCUCAAAUUUGAAAUCUGGCCUCUCGGGGUCCGAGUUGUAAUUUGUAGAGGAUGUUUUGGGUACCGCCCCGGUCUAAAUUUCUUGGAACAGAAUGUCAGAGAGGGUGAGAAU
This 137-nucleotide ribosomal RNA is filed under the name Phialophora verrucosa. RNAcentral describes it as "partial large subunit ribosomal RNA". It matches the Rfam family "Eukaryotic large subunit ribosomal RNA", at positions 82 to 219 of the family's 3401-position model. Lineage: Eukaryota; Fungi; Ascomycota; Eurotiomycetes; Chaetothyriales; Herpotrichiellaceae. The record is from RNAcentral.